AAUAAAUUUGGAUUGAAUUAAGCUAUAUUGCGGUAUGAAAAUUAUAAAUUUUUUUUUAUCUUUUUGUUUUAAAAAUAUUUAAUGAAUUUGCAUGCAUGUAAAUAUAUAUAAAUUUGUUAAUUAGUAAUUAUUAAAUUGACUGAUUGUAAAUGCUAUCAAUAAUAAUUAAUUUGCAUUAAAUUGUUAAUUAAUAAUUAUGAAAUUGAAUUAUUUUAAAUUUUAUCAAUAAUUAUUAAUUUGCAUAAAAUAAUUAAUUAAUUAUUUUUUAAUUAAAUUGAAUGAUUUUAAAUUGAAUUAAUAAUGACUAAUUAAUUUGCAUGAAAUAUUAGAAAUGUUAAUGAAUAAUUAUGAAAUUGAAUUAAUAAUUAUGAAAUUGAAUUAUUUUAAAUUUUAUCAAUAAUUAUUAAUUUGCAUAAAAUAAUUAAUUAAUUAUUUUUUAAUUAAAUUGAAUGAUUUUAAAUUGAAUUAAUAAUGAUUAAUUAAUUUGCAUGAAAUAUUAGAAAUGUUAAUGAAUAAUUAUAAAAUUGAAUGAUUUUAAAUUGAAAUAAAAAUUAUUAAUUUGCUAAUUAUUUGUUAAUAGUAAUUAUGAAAUUGAAAUGUUAAUGAUUAAUUUGUCUGAAAAGAAAAAUUUGUUAAAUAAUUAGUAAUUAUUAUGUAUUGAUUAAUUAAUUAAUUAUUUUUUUGUUUAAAAAAUAUUAAAUUAAUUAAUUUAAUAUUUUUUUAGAUUUUAAGAAAUGCCACGUAGAGUGAAGCAAUUACCUCGUCGGAGGACGCUCUACCACCCAAUCCCCAAGAUAAUAGUCAAUUAAUUUUUAUCUAAUUAAUUAUAAUUCGAUAAAAAUUUUAGGAUAAUGUCGAACGUUAUGAAAGUACCCGAUAAAGCUUGGAUGAGUUUAGAUCGGUUUUCGAAAGAAUACGGCGAAGGGUUAACAGCUUUCACUAAUUUCGCCAUUUCGAAUUCGACUCACCCAGAAGGUUAUUUACCAUGUCCAUGCUCGUCCUGCACGAAUAGUGAAGUGAUUCCUAUAAAGGAGAUGAAAAAGCAUAUUUUCAUAAAUGGUUGGUUGAAGCAUUACGAUGUUUGGACGCGUCACGG
RNAcentral lists this long non-coding RNA (1096 nucleotides) under Zostera marina. RNAcentral describes it as "long non-coding RNA (ZMAR_LNC005331)". Lineage: Eukaryota; Viridiplantae; Streptophyta; Magnoliopsida; Alismatales; Zosteraceae. The record is from RNAcentral.